RNAcentral lists this ribosomal RNA (468 nucleotides) under uncultured bacterium. RNAcentral describes it as "partial 16S ribosomal RNA". It matches the Rfam family "Bacterial small subunit ribosomal RNA", at positions 28 to 507 of the family's 1533-position model. The record is from RNAcentral.
GACGAACGCUGGCGGCGUGCUUAACACAUGCAAGUCGAACAGAAAGGCCCUGCUUUUGUGGGGUGCUCGAGUGGCGAACGGGUGAGUAACACGUGAGUAACCUGCCCUUGACUUUGGGAUAACUUCAGGAAACUGGGGCUAAUACCGGAUAGGAGCUCCUGCUGCAUGGUGGGGGUUGGAAAGUUUCGGCGGUUGGGGAUGGACUCGCGGCUUAUCAGCUUGUUGGUGGGGUAGUGGCUUACCAAGGCUUUGACGGGUAGCCGGCCUGAGAGGGUGACCGGCCACAUUGGGACUGAGAUACGGCCCAGACUCCUACGGGAGGCAGCAGUGGGGAAUAUUGCACAACGGGCGGAAGCCUGAUGCAGCAACGCCGCGUGCGGGAUGACGGCCUUCGGGUUGUAAACCGCUUUCGCCUGUGACGAAGCGUGAGUGACGGUAAUGGGUAAAGAAGCACCGGCUAACUACGUG